Molecule: ribosomal RNA, 301 nt
Filed under: uncultured bacterium
Lineage: Bacteria
Description: partial 16S ribosomal RNA
Rfam family: Bacterial small subunit ribosomal RNA
Source: RNAcentral
CAGUCGCCGCGGGAAUACCGAGGGUGCAAGCGUUAAUCGGAAUUACUGGGCGUAAAGCGCGCGUAGGUGGUUUGUUAAGUUGGAUGUGAAAGCCCCGGGCUCAACCUGGGAACUGCAUCCAAAACUGGCAAGCUAGAGUACGGUAGAGGGUGGUGGAAUUUCCUGUGUAGCGGUGAAAUGCGUAGAUAUAGGAAGGAACACCAGUGGCGAAGGCGACCACCUGGACUGAUACUGACACUGAGGUGCGAAAGCGUGGGGAGCAAACAGGAUUAGAUACCCCCGUAGUCCCUGUCUCUUAUAC